This is a long non-coding RNA of Oryzias melastigma (Indian medaka), 394 nucleotides long. RefSeq lists it as uncharacterized. The record is from RefSeq and is a predicted model, not a curated record. The transcript has 3 exons. Lineage: Eukaryota; Metazoa; Chordata; Actinopteri; Beloniformes; Adrianichthyidae.
GCGAAAUAAUCAGUGACGUCAUAUCAGGAGUUUAGAAAAAUGAAAGAAAAGUACACAAUUUUCAGCAGCUUGAGCCAGACCUUUGUUGAUAGGUACCAGGAGGUCCAAAGUCUUCUGGGGCAGAUACGGCCAAAUGAUGCUGAUCUCCUUCUGCAGCUCCGCAUCCAAGGCAAUGCGGUCCUCGCCACCUGAAACGAGCAUCACAGAAGCCGUGCGGAUGAGCGACAUCAGGGUGGAGGUGAAGUGAACGCUCAUGUCCUCGUCCACGGGCAUGUUCAUCAACACCAGCCGCUGAAAGAGACGCGCAGCAGGAAGGAAAUGAUGACAAACUUUUAAAUCACCAGAAAAAUGAGUAAAAUUGGAGGAAUAAAGGCUGAGCUUGUGCUACUAAAUA